This 529-nucleotide ribosomal RNA is filed under the name Lepidosaphes giffardi. RNAcentral's name for it is "partial 28S ribosomal RNA". The record is from RNAcentral. Lineage: Eukaryota; Metazoa; Arthropoda; Insecta; Hemiptera; Diaspididae.
AUCUGGGUGGCGAAAUUCAGAAUGGCUGGGCGGGCUUCGUUGCCUGUUCGGUCGUUUGAUAUUUUCGUCACCGUGUCAGACGUCGCGACCUGUUCGUUGUCGGUCCCUGCUCGGAGGAAUUGCGAUCGAGUUCGUUGUAGACGCGUUUCGGCGCGUCAAACGGCGAAGACGUGAAUCUCUGGCUGACGACGGACAGUAAGCAAUGGUUGCCGAUGUUGUGUCUCGUACGCGGCGUCGGCACCGGUCAGCGACGAUUUCUUCGGGCCUCUUUCCGACCCGUCUUGAAACACGGACCAAGGAGUCUAACAUACGCGCGAGUCGCGGGGUAUCGAGCGUACUACGGUACGUUCGGCACAUUAGAAACCCGUAUGUUGAAGGCGUAAUGAAAGUGAAUAGGGAAGAUGGUGUUCCGAGUAUACGUACUGUGAUAAGUCACAGCCGGACGCCCGCAUUCCCGGGGCGUCUUAAUAGUCCGCUGCAGAUGCGGUCGGUCGUCUUUCGGGGCGAUCGGCGGUCUGCUCCGGUCUGA